UUCGGGGACUGGGUCUCGCCCCAUCUACUGUCCAGGAAAGCGAAGGGUGGACAGAAAGGGAGGGGAUGCAAUGUGUGGGUGUUCGGCGUUCCUGGACCACAAGCCAGGAAGUGGGGAAAUUAGCAAAACCCGGGUUGGGCAGGAAGAGUGCAGGAAAACAGCCGGCCAGAGGUUCGGCCACAUCUGUAAUCCACUUUUCAUGAGCUUGGUCUUUGGAAUCUUGAAUUGUUUGCUCACUGGCUCUACUUCAGGUAUCUUGAUUCACAACACCCUGCAAAGUCAGCUGUAUCAUCUCCAAUUCCAUUUAUGGAGGAGACUAAGAGGCACUUGCCAAAGCAUUCCAGUUACUAGCAGAAGUGGUUUCUUUGAUGGCUAAUUUCAAUUGUCAACUUGACUGGAUUAAAAUACCUAGUGCAUUAAUGAGGCACAACUUUUGAUGUGUCCGUGAAAGUGUUUCUAAGAGAUUUAACUAAAGACUCAUCCUGAAUAUUGGCAGCACCUUCCCCAUGGACUGGGGUCCUGGAUUGAAUAAAACUAGGAAAAGGAAAAAGCCAGUUGAGCACCAGGCAUUCCCCUCUCUGUUUCCUCAUCUGUUCAGGUGUGAGCUUGUUCUCCUCACCACAGUUGAAAGCCAUUUCCAUUGCCAUGCCUUCCCCUCUCUGAUGGACUCUAGACCUCCUGAACCAUGUGUUAAAAUAAACCCUUCGUCUUUUCUUUGUCUUUUGUUAGGUAUUUGAUCACAUUGAUGAGAAAAGUUAUGAAAACACUCAAACCAAGAGCAUGGGAGACUGAAUUCAUUUAUAAUAAUGGCAAACGAUUAUAUAGUGUUAGAUGUUAG
Molecule: long non-coding RNA, 838 nt
Organism: Nannospalax galili (Upper Galilee mountains blind mole rat)
Lineage: Eukaryota; Metazoa; Chordata; Mammalia; Rodentia; Spalacidae
Exons: 3
Source: RefSeq, a predicted model, not a curated record